UCCACAGAAAAAAAACUCAUGAACUUGGAGAACAGACUUGUGGUUGCCCAGGGGGAGGAGGAGGGAACGGGAUGGACUGCGAAUCUGGGGUUAAUAGAUGCAAACUAUUACCUUUGGAAAGAAUUAGCAAUGAGCUCCUGCUGUAUAGCACUGGGAACUAUAUCUAGUCAUUUAUGAUGGAGCAUGAUGGAGGAUAAUGUGAGAAAAAGAAUUAUAUAAGUAUGUUUGAUUGGGUCACUUUGCUGUACAGUAGGAAAUUGACAGAACACUGUAAACCAACUAUAAUGGAAAAAAUAAAAAUCAUUAAAAAAGAAAAGAUUAGAUAUAUCUGUUGGAGGUAUCCAGCGAUCUGCCUUCUAAUUUUUCCUGACCCAUGAUUAGACAUGCUUUUAUUAUGUGCCAUUGACACUCAAUGAUUAUUCCAUCCAUGAUUUAGGAUUAGUGUGUCUGAUACUUAAUGAGGGUGGGCUUUUUAUGAUACAAGGCAGAGAAUUUCAUAAAUUAUUUUAAAGUUUUCGAUGAGUAUGGUAAGAUAGAGAUGAUGGUUCCAAAAACUCUUGGAGAGAAACACAGUUUGUUCGUAUCUCUGUCCAUAUGUAUGUCUUGGCUAAAUUCUCCCUCCCCAACUGUGCCGAAGACCUGGAAUAGACAGAAGAGAGCUGUGAAAACCUGGAAAGUACUGCUUUGGGAUUUUCUUAACAUUGAGAAAAUGGAGGAGUCCUUGUUACUAACAGAAUCCUCUUCUUGAAGAAAUGGAAUUUUUUCAUGGAGGAAGAAUUGACAAACAAGGGAGAGCCUCACAAAUAAAACACCUGAAAACAACA
This 824-nucleotide long non-coding RNA is filed under the name Sus scrofa (pig). RNAcentral describes it as "lncRNA (ENSSSCG00070023263.1)". The record is from RNAcentral. Lineage: Eukaryota; Metazoa; Chordata; Mammalia; Artiodactyla; Suidae.